Phyllostomus hastatus (greater spear-nosed bat) is the source of this 753-nucleotide long non-coding RNA. RefSeq lists it as uncharacterized. Lineage: Eukaryota; Metazoa; Chordata; Mammalia; Chiroptera; Phyllostomidae. The transcript has 3 exons. The record is from RefSeq and is a predicted model, not a curated record.
CCCGCCGCCCGGGGGCCGCCUUCCGUCCCGCCCGCUCCCGGCGCAGGUGCCGCAGAGCAGGGAGGCGGCCACCGUUCGCAAUUACCUCGUUCGAAAGUAGGAGCCGGACUCCAGGCCCCUAGCCGCGGCCUCCAAGGGCCAGACUUCAUCAACUCCUCCCGGGCGUGGAAUCCUACAGAGAAUCGAGACCAAAAAGCUCCCACAGAGCGAGUGGAGUCACCGGGCCCUCCCACACGCGUCCCCUACGACUUUGGCAGGACUUGAGAGCCCUCGGGUUCCCGUCAUCCUGACACCUCCAGGGCAGACGGAGGCUGCAGGUUCUGGACCUGCGCUCAACUCAGAGGGCCGCGGGCUGAUUGCUCACCGUGUCCCUGGAGGACUUGAACCCCUUCCUUCCAAUGACAGCUCCGUGUCACCCUGCUUCGUCCAGGAUCCAGUAGCGGCACCCUAGGCCGGUGCGCUUCACCCGCUGCUCUCGCGGGCCGAGGCUGACCAGCGAAGGGCGCCUGACACGGCGCAGUGCAGACUGGAAAGUGGGUGGCCUGCAGCCAGACAGCAUCCUGGAACCCGAGGUGGAGCGGUGGGGCUGGCUGGCGACGUGGGGUGGGCAGGGAGUGGUGUGGGACGUGUGCGGAGAGAAUGUGUCCGCGGUCUAGGCGGGCUUCCCUGCCCCGGGAAGCCUAGGCCAUUUCCCGUGUUGGACCCCUCUGCCAGAAAUUCCUUUAGAAAAAUCCUGGGCCAGAAUGCUCUGGG